Molecule: long non-coding RNA, 461 nt
Organism: Oncorhynchus tshawytscha (Chinook salmon)
Lineage: Eukaryota; Metazoa; Chordata; Actinopteri; Salmoniformes; Salmonidae
Source: Ensembl
AGGAGGUAUCAGGAUAUAUCAGGAGGUAUCAACCAGAGAGGAGGUAUCAGAAGUUAUCAGGAGGUAUCAGAAGUUAUCAGGAGGUAUCAGGAGUUAUCAUGAGGUAUCAGGAGGUAUCAACCAGAGAGGAGGUAUCAGAAGUUAUCAACCAGAGAGGAGGUAUCAGGAGGUAUCAACCAGAGAGGAGGUAUCAGGAGGUAUCAACCAGAGAGGAGGUAUCAGGAGGUAUCAACCAGAGAGGAGGUACGCUGAAUGACGGCCAUUUUGGGCGGGGCACAUGCACUAUGAGAGAGCAAGAGAGAGAGCGAGCGAGCGAGAGAUGGGGAGAGAGAGAGAGAGACACACUUGGAGGGAAAAAAGAGCGAGUUCUAGAUUGUGUCUAGAUACAUAACGAAAUUAAACAAAUUUUGUCCUAGUCUGUUCCGAAACAAAUCUCAAAGGCUGACAAUACUGCCGACCGC